Molecule: long non-coding RNA, 540 nt
Organism: Etheostoma cragini (Arkansas darter)
Lineage: Eukaryota; Metazoa; Chordata; Actinopteri; Perciformes; Percidae
Exons: 3
Source: RefSeq, a predicted model, not a curated record
ACCAGUUCCUAAUGGAGCUAGCGUUAAGUCAAUUAGAUGUCCGACUGAGAACGCUGCUCGUGUAGUUUGACGGGAUUUACUAAGAAGAAAGUUUGGAAUAUUUUCCAGGAUAUUGACAAUGAACCAGGGUCGUCAAUGCAGUGUUCCAGGCUGUACAGGGAAUGGAGACACUUUCCAUAGCCUUCCCAAGGAAGCAAACACUCGACGGGCUUGGCUGCUGUUUAUAAGGAGAUCCCAGGGAACUUUUCCCCCAAAGACAGUUUUCAAAACUUUGGACUAUUUAAAGCAGGACUUGCUAAGCUGCGGUUGCUGUUCCGACUGUCUGGUCAUCCCAACCCCAAGCUAAUACAUCACAAGAACGACAACACACGAAAGAUGCAGCUAGCCAAACAGAUGCUCCGAGUGUGGCAUCUCUGGGACACAACUGUCUCAUAAGACAUUAAGACCUCGCAUAUCAUACAAGCCACAACGGAAGACAGCCAAGGGUAAACUAAUGUACAGACGUCUGUUCCCAAAGGGGGGGGGGGGGGUACACCGUCA